CAAACGGAUUAGAUACCCCGGUAGUCACGCCGUAAACGAUGUCUACUAGCCGUUGGAGGACUUGAUCCUUUAGUGGCGCAGCUAACGCGAUAAGUAGACCGCCUGGGGAGUACGGUCGCAAGAUUAAAACUCAAAUGAAUUGACGGGGGCCCGCACAAGCGGUGGAGCAUGUGGUUUAAUUCGAAGCAACGCGAAGAACCUUACCUACUCUUGACAUCCAGUGAACUUUUGAGAGAUCAAUUGGUGCCUUCGGGAGCACUGAGACAGGUGCUGCAUGGCUGUCGUCAGCUCGUGUUGUGAAAUGUUGGGUUAAGUCCCGUAACGAGCGCAACCCUUGUCCUUAGUUACCAUCAUUAAGUUGGGGACUCUAAGGAGACUGCCGGUGACAAACCGGAGGAAGGCGGGGACGACGUCAAGUCAUCAUGGCUCUUACGAGUAGGGCUACACACGUGCUACAAUGGCAUGUACAAAGGGUUGCCAAGCCGCGAGGUGGAGCUAAUCCCAUAAAGCAUGUCGUAGUCCGGAUUGGAGUCUGCAACUCGACUCCAUGAAGUCGGAAUCGCUAGUAAUCGUGAAUCAGAAUGUCACGGUGAAUACGUUCCCGGGCCUUGUACACACCGCCCGUCACACCAUGGGAGUGGGUUGCUCCAGAAGUAGAUAGCUUAACCUUCGGGAGGGCGUUUACCACGGAGUGAUUCAUGACUGGGGUGAAGUCGUAACAAGGUAACCGUA
This 732-nucleotide ribosomal RNA is filed under the name uncultured bacterium. RNAcentral describes it as "bacterial SSU rRNA". It matches the Rfam family "Bacterial small subunit ribosomal RNA", at positions 769 to 1504 of the family's 1533-position model. The record is from RNAcentral.